This 64-nucleotide transfer RNA is filed under the name Cavia porcellus (domestic guinea pig). It matches the Rfam family "tRNA", at positions 1 to 62 of the family's 71-position model. Rfam says of the family: Transfer RNA (tRNA) molecules are approximately 80 nucleotides in length. Lineage: Eukaryota; Metazoa; Chordata; Mammalia; Rodentia; Caviidae. The record is from Rfam by way of RNAcentral.
GGGGAUUUAGCUCAGCGGCAUAAGCACCUGCCUUGCAAGCAGGAGGUCGUGAGUUCAAUCCCCA